UAAUUUUUGCAAUUUUCAAUUGAAUGGUAAAAAUAAAAGGGUAAAUUGGUUAAAACCAAUUAAGGGUAAAAUGAGAAUUUUUAAAUUUUUGUAGGGGUAUAGGGUUAAUUGUAGGGGUACAAGGUAAAAUUUUCUAACUGGAUAUUUCAUCCAAAUUUAAUUUCUAUAACUUUUCUAUAACAAAAAUCAAUAAAAAUAUAAUUGAAUUAAUAGUAAUGCAUGAUUUUUCUUUCCAAAGAAUAUCAGAUUGUCCAUUUAAAUCGUAAGAAGUUAGAAACAAAGACAUUACUUUUCUCCCUCUCGAAGAAAACGCUUCCCUAUGUAUUCUUCAAAUACAAACUUCUUUAACCAUAAUAACUCAUUCAUUCUAAAGGAGUAUUAUAUGCCUCUAAAUUUCCUAUUCCACCAAAAUGCUUAACUUCAUACAGGAACAAAAAUUAUUAAUUAAAUAACAAUUAAACUCUUCAAGGCACUGUGAACGAAAUGCUUAUCUCCACUAUAAUCAUCUGGUUAAUAACAGUAAUACCAUUUAACAAGGAAUAAAAAAAAUGAACUAAACAAUGGCAACCAAAGAAAACGUUUACAGUAAGGUUUUUUUUUUUAAAACAUUUGAAAUAAAUCACAAUCUCAUAAUCCAGCUUUGGCACCAAAAAAAAGAACAAAUGACGGUAGCCGCAACACCGUGUAAAAAUUCCUGGAGUUAUUUAUGAUACAUGAGCCCGUUGAAACCAAAAUGAAACCAAUCAAACAACAAAUACAAUAAAUCUAAAACGUUACCAUAUUUACAAUGCUCUUGCUGGUAGAUUUUUGGGUUCCGAAACCGUAUCAACCGUCUUCUCAAUACCCAAUAACGACCAUGACAGUUCUCGUGGCGUAGUCGUAAUGGUUCAGUCGGAAGAUCCGUGACAGGUUGAAGCGAUAUGAAGAUGAAAAGGGUUUAGUUGUGCGGUGGUCGACGGCGUGGGUUACUUCGGUGGCGGAGUUCGAUCCACGGUGGAAGGAAAAAGAAGAGUGAGGUUGUUUAGAUCGCAGUCAGCUUGGUAGAUGGCGUUGAAGGGAAUUCGCGGCGGCCAUGGCGGUUAGCCGGAAGUUGUUGAAGGAUGUUAAGGGCGGAGAAUUCGAGACGUACGGUGGAGUGUGUAUGUUAUGGUGGUGUUUGUUGGAAGGUUUGAGUUUAUGAAGAAGAAGAGGAUUUGAAGGAAUUGAGUGGGUAAGGGUGUGACGGCAGUGCGUUUUUUCAAGGGGAAGAAGAAGGUGGAUUUCAGUGUUUUGUGUGUGUGACGUUUGGGAGCAGAAGAAGUAUUCCUCCCUUUUUGUUUUUUUCUGUCCCAUGAGUCCCCUUUUUCUUGAGACAGAGUGGUGAUCCCCACGUGAAGAAGAAAUCUCUUUGUUUCCCCUUUUUCCCCGUUAGCCAGCUGUUCCUCCAUUAAUAAAAUCCCAUUUUUGUUCUUAUCCCAUCUCUCCCAAUAACAUGAUGCCACGUUUCAUGUUGAGAGUAUGGAUAAAAAAUCUUCUCAAAUGCAAGCUGUCAAACGUGUAUCUUUCACAAGUAUACAACUUUAUUUUUAAUUUUUAAUUUUUAAUGUUAAUAUUAAUAUUAUUUGAUUUUUCAUGAUUAAUAUUAUUAUUAAUUGAUUUUUGAUUGGAUAAUGGAAUAUGAUAACGAUUGCAAAUGAGAUCCGUGGAUUAAUUUGUAUCAACGAUCCUGAUUAAUCCAAAGAAGCACAAGCAAUUUUAAAAUGUCCGAUAUGUCCCUUUUAUAUGAUUUUAAUUGAUUUAAAAUAAUUUAAAUCAUCAAAUCAAAUUAAAUUCGCAUCUUUCUAAAUACAUACGAUAAAAAUAAAAUGAGAAUACGAAAAAUUCUAUUUAUUUCUUUUGAACAUUUUGGCGAAAGAAUAAAAAUAAAAUGACUAAAAAUUAAUAAAAGUCGGACGAAAAUUUGUUUAAAAAAUUAAAUCGGACGCACUAAAAUGAUCAGCGCGAAAUAUACUUAUUGAAAAAAUACAUCAUUUCUUUUAAUUUUGAAAUAAAUUUUGACCGAUUGAAAGGCUUAGACGGAUCAAAAUGCGAUUGAAAAAGUCGUCGAAAAAUAUAACGAGCACACCAUGUUAAACUACGCAGACCAUAGAUUAAUAAUACUGGCGUAUGCAAGUUUAAUUUUGAAACUUUUUACACGCUGAUUUUGCACGUACUUGAGAAAUGAUUUAACCAAUUUGUCUAUAUUUUCAAUAAUUUAUUUCGACCGAUAUUUUAAGUAUUAUUCAUGAUGAAAUGCAUGUUAUGCUGUACAACUGAUGCAAAUUAAAAAUGAAAUCAAGUUUAUGAAAAAUUUAAAAUGUCUGGACAAAAUUGGGGUAUGACAGCUGCCCCUAUUUAGUUACCUUGAUCCGGAAAGUAAGAAUUACAGCAGUGUCCGUAAAUUCGUGGUGGAAGGUAAUUAAAUACGAAAAGACCCAAAUUUUGUCCUUUGAAAUGUGAUGGAGAAAUGUAGAAAGAAAAUGUAACGAAUCCUAACGACAUCCAGGGUAUUAGGGGUAGAAUAUCCGAUCAAUGCCAACCCUCGAGUCGACAUUUAAAUCUUGCAAAGGUCGUUAUUGAUAUGAGGACAAACCUGAGCAGGUUUUCUGGCACCAAAAGGAUGACAAUAGAAUUAAUUGCCAUCACCAAAAGGGUGAUAGUAAUUCACCAUGAUUUCCGGGAUCGUCAUCACCAAAAGGAUGAUGGAAUACCAAGCUUCAAAGGUAGUCAUCACCAAAAGGAUGAUGGUUAUCCUGAUAAAGCUUUCCAUUACCGAGGGGGUAAUAUUAAGACUAUCAUCAAAAGGACGAUAGUUAACUCAUCAACUUCAAAGAUCACCGUCACCAAAAGGAUGAAAGUAAGUUCAACGACAAAACUUAUUAUCACCAAAAGGAUGAUGCUAAGUCACGGCAACUUCAUUGGAUCACCAUCACCAAAAGGAUGAAGGUAACAUUAACAACAAAACUUGUUAUCACCAAAAGGAUGAUAAAAAGUCAACAAUCACCAUCACCAAAAGGAUGAAGGUACUACCAAACAACAGAACUUGUUACCACCAAAAGGAUGAUAAUAAGUCAACAAUAUUAAUGAUCACCAGUAUCCAAAGGAUGAAGGUAAGAUCAACAACGAAACUUGUUAUCACCAAAAGGAUGAUAAUAAGUCACAAACUUCAAAUGAUCACCAUCACCAAAAGGGUGAAGGUAAGAUCAAAUAACAGAACUUGUUACCACCAAAAGGAUGAUAACAAGUCAUCAACCACCAUCACCAAAAGGAUGAAGGUAAAAACAAACAACAAAGCUUGUUACCCUCAAAAGGAUGAUAAUAAGUCAACAACUCAAAUAAUCACCAUCACCAAAAGGAUGAAGGUAAGAUUAAUAACAAGACUUGUUACCACCAAAAGGAUGAUAAUGAGUCACAAUCACCAUCACCAAAAGGAUGAAGGUAUUAUUGAACAACAAAACUCGUUAUCACCAAAAUGAUGAUAAUAAGUUACAACAACUUAAAUGAUCACCAUCACCGAAAGGAUGAAGGUAAGAUCAGAACAAAACUUGUUACCACCAAAAGGAUGAUAGUAAGUCGAGACAAACUUUAAUGAUCGCCAUCACCAAAAGGAUGAAGGUAAGAUCAAAUGACAAAACUUAUUACCACCAAAAGGAUGAUAAUAAGUCAAAAACUUCACAUGAUCACCAUCACCAAAAGGAUGAAGGUAUGAUCAACAACAAAACUUGUUACCUCCAAAAGGAUGAUAAUAAGUCACAAACUUCAAAUGAUCACCAUCACCAAAAGGAUGAAGGUAUGAUCAACAACAAAACUUAUUACCACCAAAAGGAUGACAAUAAUCUUUAAUAAUGAGAGGUCUCCAUUCACCAAAAGGAUGAAGGUUGGACCCAAAACUUCAAGGAUCUUCGACACCAAAAGGAUGACGGUAAGAUCACAAAUGUCAAGGGUUUACCAUUACCAAAAGGAUAACGGUUAUCAUAAACAAGGAGAUGAUUAAUAUUAUUCCUCAAUGAACUUUCACCAAAAGAAUGAUAGUGAGAAAAAUAUUUGGAAUAAUAAAGCUACUGACAAAGUUCAAUAAACCCGACUUGUUGGGUAGUAUUAGAACGUUACUGGGUAAGACUUGCUUGGGGUAUCGACAAUAAAAGGUUGCAGAAAAAUAUUCUCUGGAAAACAUAAUUUCCAUCAACAAAAGGUUAAAAGAAACAUCUCAUCGAGGAACGCUCAAUGAGAAACAAGGUAGGGGUUUGAAGAAAAAUUGUUCGACUUAGAUGAGGGUAACACCUUAUUAACAAAAGGUUAGAGGAUGUAAAUCAACGGGGAACACCCAACAAUACAAGGUAAGAACUCACUCAGAGAAAAUAAUAAAUGACUCAACUGAGGGUUGGCCUGGACACCUACGACUAAACCUUGGAUCUUGAUUCGUGCUAUAUGCAUGAAUGUUAUGUAUGCGUUAUGUAUGAGAUGAUGUAUGCAGUGCAUGUUUGAAUGUAAAGGAUGAUUGGUUUGUUUAGAAUUGGUCCCCCCUUUUCAAAGGAGAUGUAUUUUCUGGAAACAAAUACUGGUUGUAUUUGUUUUUGUGUGGGUUCCAACAAGGUGGACUUUGGGUUUUUUGGUAAUUGCCAAUAUGAGUUUGAUUGUUGGUGGGUGAAAGGAUCUGACUUCCCGACACUUGGUAGUUUAUGAUCUGAUGAACACGCAAUGGAUGUGGAUACGCUCGAUGCCCUAAGUUUGAUUUCUUGCUGUUAUGUUGUGUCUUUGCCCCUGAGGGGAACUCGACUUCUUCUUCUGAGAUGUUGGGUCAGCUUGUAACCGAGCAUAGUGACAUGAUCAACGCAUGAUGAUUAUGCUUUUGACGUGCCGCAAGGUUUCUUGUCAAGAUGUGAUAUUGUACCGGUAUGAAGUUUUGACAUUUUGGUUGUGAUCUUAGACAGUUUCUAGUGUCUGACACAAUCUGCCUGACCGACUUGAAGAUAUGAAGUGAAUUUUCCCCUUGCAACUUGUCUUGCCCAGUCUGUAGGGUGUUCAAAGGAAUUAUCCUUGAAAGGAAACCCUUAGGAGUGAUUAUCCCAUGACAUGGUCUGAGUCUGUUUCCUCCAACGUUUGUCUCUUGUGGUGGGAUAAACACAGAAAUGGAUAACAAAUGGUUUUGAACUCGGCAUUCAUGUCGUGUGAUUUUCUCUCUUCUUCUUUUUUUCUCGUGCAUAACUCAUAGCUUUGGGGGUUUAUCCACUUUUGGCUCUUUUCAACUCAAUUCUUUGUGAGCAUUUUAAAGGUGUUAGAGUCUUAAGUCUCGGCAAGUGCAUUUUCUUUUUUUUUUUUUCUUUUUGGACAUACACAUGUCUCUACUUUUUGUAUUGCUUUUAGAUCUCUUAUUAUGCACUUGCCCUUUCUUUCAAGAUUACCACCCCAAACUUAGCUUUUUGCACAUCUUGUAACUCACAACAAUCAUGCCGAGUGAUGGGAUGAAAUGAACGAUUAAUGGUCAACAUGGGGUUUAUUACGAACAAAAUGGCUAAGGCUCAACGGGGUUCACGAAGGGUAAACAUAUAAACAUGGAUGGCUAGAAAGGCUCUGGAUUAAACAAACAACUUGCCUCAGUGCGUGUUGUCAUGCUGUGAAGUGUCAAAAGAACAUACGCAAAAUCAGAGUGAUAGAGUCAUACCUGGCUGAACUCUCAUGAUAUUUAGUGUUUGGCCUUUUUAUUCUCACCAUGUUGGUUAAACUUACAAGCUCUGAAGCCUCCUAGUGUCAUGUGGUUUCUUUUCUGAUUCGGUUCUACCAUACCGCUCUCUUGGUCCAGUGUCACCAAAUUGUGUCCGACUUUUACUUUCUCAUGGUUGCAUCAACUUCCGGGGUACCUUAAUAGAACAAGUAUGAGGGGUGUCUUUCAUCCACUACAACCGAUCCCGGAUUCGUCCACAAUUUCUCAUCACUCUGUACACACCGAUAAACAAUAAAAACAAACGUUGAAGGAAAACAUGAACAAAAUGAAAACGAAAUAAAACAUGAAAGGAAAACCCCUCCCCCCCCCCACACCUGAACUAAACAUUGACCUCAAUGUUUAAAUCCAGAUACAAAGGGGACUCACAGCGACUACUGUUGUUUUACUGCACUUGUGUGGUUUCCUUCCAUUUUGAGGUGUUUGUGACUUUAUUAAAUCCAGAUACAAAGGGGACUCACAGCGACUACUGUUGUUUUACUGCACUUGUGUGGUUUCCUUCCAUUUUGAGGUGUUUGUGACUUUGCCCUUCUAAUUCUCCUCCUCCCCUACAACAAAAUUCUAGCACACAAAAAGAAAAAGAAAAACGAAAUAAAUUAGAAAUCAAACGCGUGGGUUGCCUCCCACGAAGCGCUUCCUUUAACGUCGCAUGGCUCGACGGUUCAUUUCCCUUAUCAUGGGGGGUAUUUCAGGUUCAAAACCUUGUUGCACCUCUUGUCUCUAACUCGGACGUUGUCUCUUUUAUCAGUGUUGACUCCUUUGCACCACGUUCCUUUUUAACCUUCCUUUCGAUGUUAGGAAUCUUCCCGUUUAGGGUGGCUACUGGCAGUGGUGAGACUUUGAUAGUAUUCAAUGUCCUGAUUAAGCCUACUUGAUACUGAGAUUUUGUAUCUUCCUCCAUAUCCUGGUCUUCAAUAGCUUUCAAUGUUAUUUCCUUGUUGUGAACUUUCAAGGUUAACGUGCACUCAUCCAUGUCGAGCUCGCAUCGACUCGUCUUCAUGAAAGGUCUACCCAGAAUGAUGGGUGCCUCAUUGUCUUCAGGUAUGUCUAGGAUUACAAAAUCGACUGGGAAAGUCAAGUCCGCUAUUGUUACCAACACAUCUUCAACCAUACCAUACGCAUCUUUUCUUGAGUGAUCCGCAAACUUCAGAUUGGUCUUUAUAUCACUGAUAUUUCUAAUACCCAGCCUGUGAUAGAUCGAUAAUGGCAUCAGAUUCAUACUAGCUCCAUAACCUAUUAGUACCUUUUUGAAGGUUCUUUCUUUGAUUGUGCAUGGUACUGUGACGGUUCCUGGAUCCUUUUAUUUGUUAGGAAUGUUCUGCUCCAGGGAGUUUGCAUUAUAUUGUUCCUUACCGGAUACCUGUUCUUCAGUGGUUGGUUUCUUUUCAGCCAUUACCUCUUCCACGAAUUUCUUGUACAUGGGCAUCCUUUCAAGUGGUUCAAACAAAGCCAUAUGACCCUCAAUCCUUUUAAACAUUGUCAUGAAUUUCUCCAAGUCUGACUCACUAGGUUCCUUCUUUGUCAUUCUCUGAGGGUAGGCAACUUAAUCACCGGUUUAGUUCCUUUUGUAGUUUCUUCUUGAGUCGGCUCUCUCGGUGAUGUAAUUUUUUCUUUUUAGCAGCCUUUUUCUCUGUCGUCGUGACAGUAUUAAACAUCUCUGACCUCUCGGAUUUUGAACUGUUUCACUUGGUAGGGAACCUGGUGUUCGAGAACUUGCCAGUUGCUGGGCUAUCUGCCCCAGCUGAACUUCGAGAUUCUUUAGGGAUGCGGCGAUGUUUUUCUGAUUGUUUCUAGUCUCUUCUUCAAAUUGCCCAUUUUGAGCUGCCGUCUUUUCAAUUGCAAUCUCCCAAUCUGCCUUCUUUGGGACUUGAUUUUGCUGUUGCUGAUAUUGGUUUUGAUAUUGGCCUUGUACUUGCUGUUGCACAUUCCCUUUCUGAUCCCUCCAUGCAAAGUUUGGAUGAUUCUUCCACCCCGGGUUGUAUGUGUUGGAGUAGGGAUUGUUUUGCUUUAAAAACUUGAUAUCUUCUAUCUGUUGCGGUGUUGCAAAGCAAUGAACAGUAUUGUGUGGUCCAUUACAAAUGCCACACACAUCGUUAGGUGCCUGUUGUACUUGAGCCACUUUCUGCGCACCUAUGUUUAGUGCCUUCAACCUUUUCUCCACCUCUGCAACAACUGCUUCUUCAAUUUUUACCUGUUUGUUUAUUUUAAGCUUCAAAUCAAUUACUGCAGAUUUGCUUGACACCCUAUCAUACAACUCCAGAUGCUCAUUUGAGGAAAUUGCUUCAAUUAUCUUCUUCAUACCGGUGGCUGUUGCAAAGUUAGCUGAGCCACCAGCUGUUGAGUCAAGGAUUUGUCUCGUUUGAAUUCGAAGACCAUUAACAAACAUUUGCAUCUGCUCAGUUUCAUCCAUGUUGUGAGUAGGACAAGCCACUAGGAUUCUCUUGAAUCUUUUAUAGGCAUCUCCUAUCGUUUGAAUUCGAAGACCAUUAACAAACAUUUGCAUCUGCUCAGUUUCAUCCAUGUUGUGAGUAGGACAAGCCACUAGGAUUCUCUUGAAUCUUUUAUAGGCAUCUCCUAGUGACUCACCCUCCUUUUGCUUGAAGUUUAGGAUCUCCUAUCUUUUUCUCAGUGACAUAGAUGCGGGAAAAUAUUCCUGCAAGAAUGUUGUUUCCAUCUGCUCCCAUGUAGUGAUACUGCCAGCCGGUAAGGAAUAGAAUCACUCUUCGGCUUCAUCUGCUAAAGUGAAUGGGAACAUACGAAGCCUUAUUGCUUCUUCGUUAUGUCCAGGCAUUUUCAGCGUUGUGCUCAUAGUUAAAAAUCUUUGCGGAUGCUUGUUGGCAUCUUCAUUCACUCUUCCAGAAAAGGACCGCCUUUCGAGUUGAUUAAUUAUGCUGGGAUGCAAUUGAAAUUGUUUUACAUUAACCGGGUGGUUUACAAUUGUCAUCCGACCACCCGGAGUGUUGGUUCCACCAUUGUCACCGAGAAGUCUCUCGGGUGGUGGUGGUGGUGGUGGGUUUGCAGCCAUGAUUUCAGGAACUAUUUCCGCGUCUGAAUCUGAAUUCUCUGAGUGCACUGAAACAACUUCCUCCUCUGCUUUCUUUGCUAAUUCCAGUUUUUCUCUCUUAGCUUGUCUUAGUCUAGCACGAAGAGUUCUUUCUGGAUCUGCGUCAAAAGAAAAAUCCGCUGAGGCCUUACCUCGCAUAAACAAGUUAGACAAAUAUUAGAAUUGAAUAACAAGAUUGUCACAGAUAAAAUUUUGGUUGACGAGCAGAUAUAAAUUCACAAAACCAACCAAACCCUUGUCUUUUUGUUCAAAUAGAAUCAGAAGUAAAAUAAGUAUUUCCCCCGCAAUCCCUGAGAUCGAUACUUGGAAAUAAAAUCCUAUUACAUCAAUCGCGUAAAAAAGUACACUUGCUAAUUCCGAUCAAGUUUUUGGCGCCGUGUCGGGUAAUGCCAAAUAAAACCUAUUUUAAUUUUUAAUUCUUAUUAUGAAAUUUUACAAAAAAAGUUGCUCAGCAAACCAAAAAAUAUUUAUAUGCCUGUAGUGACACACAUCUUAUCAAUCUAAUAUUGAUACGCCAAAAUUAAACAAUUGUUUAUGCGAGACAGUAAGCCUCAAGCGGAUUUUCUUUUAUGACGACAAUCCACGAAAGAACUACUUCGUGCUAGCACUAGAGACAAGCAAACGGAGAAGAAAAACAAUGGAAUAGCAAAGAAAGGCAGAGGAGGAGGAAAGAUUGUUUCAGUGCAACUCAGGAGAAUUCCGAUUCAGACGCGGAAAAUAAAUACAAAAAUCGUUCCUCGACAAUAUCAAAUGGCAAUGCAAAACACCCACACCACACAACAACAACACUCCAAACCACACCACACACCUGAGAAAAAAACUUAUCGAACCAAGAUAACAAGAUUGAGUGGAAAACCAAACCACUCCGGGUAGUGGACGAUGACAAAAUGUGAAACACCCAGGUAUGAUUAAAAACACAUUAAAUUACAAUUGUACCCAGCAAUAAUUAAAAUGCAAACUCGAAAAGAACGACACGUUCAUUUAUAUAAAUCUGGAAAGAUAAAAAAAGAUACAGCGAGUAAACAACAAAACAUUGUUGAAUGAAAAAAUGGUAGGAACCACAAACAAAAGAAAAAAGCAAACAAAAAAUACAAACCAACGAGGACAAAAAAACAAAAAAAGAAGAAAAGAGAAUAAAGAGAAAUAAUUACUUAACUCAUGAGCCAACAACGGCUUGAGAAAAUGCCCUGAACCAUAACGAAGAAGCAAUUAAGGAGUUCGCUAGUCCAUUACUCUUAGCAGAUGAAAGUCACGAAGGAGGUGAUAUACAUCAUCAAACUUAAAGCCGAAAAAAAGUGCUCGGCCAAAGAAUCAACCACAUCGGAGCAAGAGUGGAACUAUAAAACACAACAUUCUUGCAGGAAUAAUUAGUCGACAUAUAUAGAGUCCACUAGGAGAAAAAAAAAGAAAUAAAAAAA
RNAcentral lists this long non-coding RNA (10219 nucleotides) under Lathyrus oleraceus (garden pea). Its description in RNAcentral is "Pisum sativum (pea) long non-coding RNA (PSAT_LNC011672)". Lineage: Eukaryota; Viridiplantae; Streptophyta; Magnoliopsida; Fabales; Fabaceae. The record is from RNAcentral.